This 74-nucleotide transfer RNA is filed under the name Burkholderiaceae bacterium. RNAcentral's name for it is "tRNA-Gly". It matches the Rfam family "tRNA". Rfam says of the family: Transfer RNA (tRNA) molecules are approximately 80 nucleotides in length. The record is from RNAcentral. Lineage: Bacteria; Pseudomonadati; Pseudomonadota; Betaproteobacteria; Burkholderiales; Burkholderiaceae.
GCGGGCGUCGUUCAAUGGCAGGACUUCAGCUUCCCAAGCUGAUAACGUGGGUUCGAUUCCCAUCGCCCGCUCCA